RNAcentral lists this ribosomal RNA (485 nucleotides) under uncultured bacterium. RNAcentral's name for it is "partial 16S ribosomal RNA". It matches the Rfam family "Bacterial small subunit ribosomal RNA", at positions 28 to 523 of the family's 1533-position model. The record is from RNAcentral.
GAUGAACGCUGGCGGCGUGCUUAACACAUGCAAGUCGAACGGUGAAGCAGGAGCUUGCUCUUGUGGAUCAGUGGCGAACGGGUGAGUAACACGUGAGCAACCUGCCCCUGACUCUGGGAUAAGCGCUGGAAACGGCGUCUAAUACUGGAUAUGUGAUGUGACCGCAUGGUCUGCAUCUGGGAAGAAUUUCGGUUGGGGAUGGGCUCGCGGCCUAUCAGCUUGUUGGUGAGGUAAUGGCUCACCAAGGCGUCGACGGGUAGCCGGCCUGAGAGGGUGACCGGCCACACUGGGACUGAGACACGGCCCAGACUCCUACGGGAGGCAGCAGUGGGGAAUAUUGCACAAUGGGCGGAAGCCUGAUGCAGCAACGCCGCGUGAGGGAUGACGGCCUUCGGGUUGUAAACCUCUUUUAGCAGGGAAGAAGCGAAAGUGACGGUACCUGCAGAAAAAGCACCGGCUAACUACGUGCCAGCCGCCCGCAGUAA